This 467-nucleotide ribosomal RNA is filed under the name uncultured Paracoccaceae bacterium. RNAcentral describes it as "bacterial SSU rRNA". It matches the Rfam family "Bacterial small subunit ribosomal RNA", at positions 432 to 917 of the family's 1533-position model. Lineage: Bacteria; Pseudomonadati; Pseudomonadota; Alphaproteobacteria; Rhodobacterales; Paracoccaceae. The record is from RNAcentral.
UCUUUCGCCAGGGAUGAUAAUGACAGUACCUGGUAAAGAAACCCCGGCUAACUCCGUGCCAGCAGCCGCGGUAAUACGGAGGGGGUUAGCGUUGUUCGGAAUUACUGGGCGUAAAGCGCGCGUAGGCGGAUUGGAAAGUUGGGGGUGAAAUCCCAGGGCUCAACCCUGGAACUGCCUUCAAAACUCCCAGUCUAGAGUUCGAGAGAGGUGAGUGGAAUUCCAAGUGUAGAGGUGAAAUUCGUAGAUAUUUGGAGGAACACCAGUGGCGAAGGCGGCUCACUGGCUCGAUACUGACGCUGAGGUGCGAAAGUGUGGGGAGCAAACAGGAUUAGAUACCCUGGUAGUCCACACCGUAAACGAUGAAUGCCAGACGUCGGGUAGCAUGCUAUUCGGUGUCACACCUAACGGAUUAAGCAUUCCGCCUGGGGAGUACGGUCGCAAGAUUAAAACUCAAAUGAAUUGACGGA